This 253-nucleotide ribosomal RNA is filed under the name uncultured bacterium. Its description in RNAcentral is "partial 16S ribosomal RNA". It matches the Rfam family "Bacterial small subunit ribosomal RNA", at positions 524 to 776 of the family's 1533-position model. The record is from RNAcentral.
UACGAAGGGGGCUAGCGUUGCUCGGAAUUACUGGGCGUAAAGCGCACGUAGGCGGCUUCUUAAGUCAGGGGUGAAAUCCUGGAGCUCAACUCCAGAACUGCCUUUGAUACUGGUGAGCUUGAGUCCGGGAGAGGUGAGUGGAACUGCGAGUGUAGAGGUGAAAUUCGUAGAUAUUCGCAAGAACACCAGUGGCGAAGGCGGCUCACUGGCCCGGUACUGACGCUGAGGUGCGAAAGCGUGGGGAGCAAACAGG